GAUGAACGCUGGCGGCGUGCCUAAUACAUGCAAGUCGAGCGAACAGACGAGGAGCUUGCUCCUCUGACGUUAGCGGCGGACGGGUGAGUAACACGUGGAUAACCUACCUAUAAGACUGGGAUAACUUCGGGAAACCGGAGCUAAUACCGGAUAAUAUAUUGAACCGCAUGGUUCAAUAGUGAAAGACGGUUUUGCUGUCACUUAUAGAUGGAUCCGCGCCGCAUUAGCUAGUUGGUAAGGUAACGGCUUACCAAGGCGACGAUGCGUAGCCGACCUGAGAGGGUGAUCGGCCACAUUGGAACUGGGACACGGUCCAGACUCCUACGGGAGGCAGCAGUAGGGAAUCUUCCGCAAUGGGCGAAAGCCUGACGGAGCAACGCCGCGUGAGUGAUGAAGGUCUUCGGAUCGUAAAACUCUGUUAUUAGGGAAGAACAAAUGUGUAAGUAACUAUGCACGUCUUGACGGUACCUAAUCAGAAAGCCACGGCUAACUACGUG
RNAcentral lists this ribosomal RNA (497 nucleotides) under uncultured bacterium. Its description in RNAcentral is "partial 16S ribosomal RNA". It matches the Rfam family "Bacterial small subunit ribosomal RNA", at positions 28 to 507 of the family's 1533-position model. The record is from RNAcentral.